UGAAAAGAAACUUUGGAGAGAGAGUCAAAAAGACCGCGAAACCGUUAGGAGGGAAACGAAUGCAGCUGAAUUAGCUCUGCUCAAGUUCAGGUGUGAUGUUGAUUGGCGAUGCCGGUGUGCAAGAGCCGAUAGGUUUUGCCCUCCGGAUAGCUGUCAACUCCUCUGCACUCUUGUGCAAAGCUGGCCAACAACAGUUGCUCGUGGCUGAGAAGGGCGGUUGGGAAGGUAGUCACGCUUCGGGGUGAAACUUAUAGCCAUCCGUCUGGUAGUCUGCGGGCGACUGAGGAUAACUGGCAGUGCAGGCCUUUGGCUUGGGCCGCUUCUGGCCGUUUGGGCACCGCGGUAGGGACUGCGUGCAGUGUCUGCUGACGGAUGUCUGCUCGGACGGGAAAUCGGUCACACCUUGCGCUGUAGUUGUUGGUGAUCAAAUGGCUGCAUCCGACCCGUCUGAAAAACACGGAA
This 462-nucleotide ribosomal RNA is filed under the name Pseudosuberites sp. UPDM SZN-HL102. Its description in RNAcentral is "partial large subunit ribosomal RNA". It matches the Rfam family "Eukaryotic large subunit ribosomal RNA", at positions 365 to 664 of the family's 3401-position model. The record is from RNAcentral. Lineage: Eukaryota; Metazoa; Porifera; Demospongiae; Suberitida; Suberitidae.